RNAcentral lists this ribosomal RNA (253 nucleotides) under uncultured bacterium. RNAcentral's name for it is "partial 16S ribosomal RNA". It matches the Rfam family "Bacterial small subunit ribosomal RNA", at positions 524 to 776 of the family's 1533-position model. The record is from RNAcentral.
UACGUAGGGUGCGAGCGUUAAUCGGAAUUACUGGGCGUAAAGCGUGCGCAGGCGGUGAUGUAAGGCCGAUGUGAAAUCCCCGGGCUUAACCUGGGAACUGCAUUGGUGACUGCAUUGCUGGAGUAUGGCAGAGGGGGGUGGAAUUCCACGUGUAGCAGUGAAAUGCGUAGAGAUGCGGAGGAACACCGAUGGCGAAGGCAGCCCCCUGGGCUGACACUGACGCUCAGGCACGAAAGCGUGGGGAGCAAACAGG